RNAcentral lists this long non-coding RNA (417 nucleotides) under Phasianus colchicus (ring-necked pheasant). Its description in RNAcentral is "lncRNA (ENSPCLG00000016926.1)". Lineage: Eukaryota; Metazoa; Chordata; Aves; Galliformes; Phasianidae. The record is from RNAcentral.
GGACGGCGGGGGGGUCACACGCAGGGCUGCGGCGAGACACCCCCAGCCUUCACGUGGGCGGCUCCGAAGCGGGGAGAAAGGGGUCGAGAGCGGCAGCAAGAGUUCAGCAUCAGCGAGGUCUCUUGCAGGAGCUUGGUCGAAAGGACACUCCCCAGCACCUUGUCAUCUGAUGAAGAUUGGCACAAGUCACCCAGAGAAGCGGCGGUGCCCCGUCCCUGCAGGCAGCCGAGCUCAGACCGGAUGGGCUGUGAGCACUGCUGGAGCUGUGUGUGUCCCUGUGCACUGCAGAGGCUUGGACUGGAUGGCCUUUCGGGGUCCCUUCCAACACAAACAGUUCUGUAAUUCUAUGACUCCUUUAACAUCAGCCUGCCUUGGUCCGUGACCAUGCAAAUAAAAACUUCCUUACUGCCUGCUGCA